GCGCUCACUUCGGCAAUGCAAGUAUUAAAAUUGGACCGGGUCAGAGAUUACCAUGCCCCUGCACAAGGAUGACAGGCAAAUUCAUGAAGCAUCCCACCGUUUU
This is a small nuclear RNA of Pteronotus mesoamericanus, 103 nucleotides long. Lineage: Eukaryota; Metazoa; Chordata; Mammalia; Chiroptera; Mormoopidae. The record is from RefSeq and is a predicted model, not a curated record.